UCUGUUUUACAAAUGCACGAUUUCACAUAUUUGGAGGAAAAAUGAAAAAAAAAAAAAAAAAGAGGCUGUUUUUCCAACAACAUUGUGCUUUUUUCAUAAAACAAAAAAACAACAAAUGCCUUUCUAGCAUAGAUUUCUUAGGCAUAUUUUUGUUUAAGCUGUGGAAAAAUGGGACUUACCCUAGUGCUGCAAAGCAGGCAGUCAUGGAGAGCAUUUUGAUUUAAAAUGCAAUCUGAAGAGAAGAAAAGAAAAAAAAAUAAGGAAUGAUAUAAACAAACAGUACACCGCUUUCAAGUUACUCCUAAAAUGUUCCUAGAUUAACUAAUACAUUGAAAGUUUAAAUCUUUACACAUUGUUCUUGAGGGGCUAUGUCUCUUGACUCUUUAUUUAUAUCACUUAUUCUUGUCUGGCAACAUAUGUUCCCGAUUUAUUAUAGUAUUUUUACUGUUAGCCAGACAAAUGUAAGGGCUAGCUGAGAAGGGUAGUUUCAUCUGAUGAGUUUAACAAUUGCAGGGCAUCCUUUAGGGUUAGCCAAUGGGCUCUUUUGAAGCUGUAAUACUCACCAUUAACCGUUUGGAUGCUGAAAUAUUUGUAUUGUCCAGGUUGGGGCUUCCCUGGUGUGAGCCUCUUUGUUUCAGAUGGGUUCACAGGCAAACGCACCGCAGUGGGCGAGAGCUGCUCAUCCAGCAAAUGCUCCCGUGUGCAUCCCAGACCACGCUGUUAGAGCUUGCGGGUAACAAGUCUGUACCGUGCGUACCCCCCUCCGGUCGGAUAGAGAGAAAGGCAUGCAGAAAAUAACGCUUAAAAAGUCUAAUUCUGUGAUGUAUGGCAAAUAUUAACCGUAAGCGUUUGGAACUCCGUGUGUGCUUUCUGACCACCGGAAGGUAAUGGGGAGGAAGGCUUCCUCUGUCAAAGCACAACCCCAAAAACGUGUAUUUUAAAUAGAUGCCCUGACACCUGGGGAAAAGGUGGGAGGAGAGGUGGUGAGCUGGGUGCCGCGUUUUACACGUCUCACAUUCAGGCUACUUGUUCUGGGGUAAGAACCUGCACUUUUUCCACCUCCUGUUUCCUCCCCUUGUCUCUCUUUGUUCGAUGCCAAGAGGUUCCUGCACAUCCACCAGAAGCUGCUGGUGGAAACAGGUACAUUUGCAUUUGCACCCCCACCCAGCUGUGCUUGAGCUUUGGGGCACCAACAGGUUCGCAGCUCCAAGGAGAUGUAGGGAUAUAAUUCCGAGCAUAACGCCACGUUCACAAUCUGCAGCCUUUUGGCACUCGAUCAGAUCACGACACCCAUCAGCGUAUCCUACUACGGGUGGGAUGCCCAUCAUGGGAUGCUCGGGACCCCUGCGCACCAAAGAGCACAGGGUGAAUCCAGAGCAGGCUGUAGGGCACAAGUGACAUUUUUUUUGCCUUUGGGAAUCAAGUCAGGCCUUGGGGAUAGGAGACAGCUCUGAAAAGUUUUAGUUUCCCUUGCAUCUUCAGGGAAUGAGGGAAGGGUCAGUGUAAAGCUUGCACAAGACCACAUGUUCAGAGCAGUAAUCUGCUGGGGAACAAAAUACAGAGGGCAAGAUGCUGUGUUUCAGGUAGAAUAAAUACAGCAGGUUAUAAAUAAGCAGUAAAUACAGCAGUUAGACUCCUCGUGGGAUCCCUUGAAAGGGGAUUUUGACUCGGUGGGUCAGGGCACAUUUCCUGGUGUCACCAGUGAGCCAGUGGCAAACAGCGUGGUAUGGUUGUCACUGGGAGAAGAGCAAGGGGAGAAGCACUCCUGGGAUUUUUUGCUUUGACUUAAUAGCAGUUCAGUUGUCCUGGGCUCACUUGUUUGUGGCUUUUCUUUUUUUUUUUUUUUUUAAUUAGAAAAAUGGCCAAACAUUCCCUCUGCUUAUUGCAGGGGAGUUGAUAAGCAGCUGGACUUCCUAAAGAUGACUUGGAUUCAGCUGUGUGCAAAAACAUCAUAAAGAUGGAGAUCUUUCUUUCUGAUCGAUUUUCUAUAGCAUGAAGAUAGCCCCAAUAAUUCCUUACCCCAGAUUAAAUUUUAAUUGCACUUUGGCUGACCAAAAACAGUGGCAAUGAAUGCAGGUGGAGCACAGGGUGGCUGUGGUCAGGGGCUGGCUCUCUCCAAAGGUUUUCUGGAGGCAGGUGCCACCGGUACCCUGAGCAAGCAUCAAAAGUGGCAGUACUGGGGCUCAGAGCACGGGGCUUAACACCUAUUUAAUUUUCUAUUUUAAGGAGGUUUCUGGCAACUUCAUAAUUAAGUUAAUAACCGCUCCUGAUUUUGUUUCACCCCCCCACAACACUUUUUGGUUUUAGUGUGGGGAGGGAGGAACAAGGAGCAGCUCGGUCCCUCAAUCACUCCCUCUGUUUUGUCCAUCACCUUGGUUUCUUUCCCCUGUUUUUGACCUGCACUUUUUCUGGAUCAGACACUGGCAGGUUGAGAGGUAAUAAGAACCAGAUGGACAGAGUGCAGAAAUUGCCCAAAUGGGUACGAGAAUGUGGGGAGCUGUCAGGCAUGGAGAGAAGCUGGAAUUUUUCAGCAAUAAAAUGGGAUUUAUCGCCACUCUACCACAGUCAUUGCCGACAACCGUUUACCUUGACAGAAACCCCAUUCCAAUAGGCCAUGCCGAUGCAGAUUUUUUUUUUUUUUCCCAAAGAGUGAUGAUUGGUAUUUGUUCUAAGGCUCAAAUGGCCUGCACUAAAGGUGAAGCAUUAGGCCAAAGUCCUGUAUUCCCUACUGAGGCAAAUGAACCUGCUAAAAUAAGUUCCUUCCACAAUAGCUGUGUAAUUGAAACCAGAAAGUGAGAGAAUUUGAUAAAUUGCUUGACCCUGAAGGAAUGUUAAGGUCAUAAAUUUUCAUUGCAUUUUUUGCCUCUUUUUCAGGAAAAAAAAAAAUUCUCUUUUUAUAUAUAUUGAUUAUGUUUAGCAUUUGUCUCCAAAUUCCAGCUAGCCUCCAGAUCAUUAGCCAUCGCUCUGCCAUCCUCUCCCAACAGGCAACAAUUACAAGGUUUCCAGCAUCCCCACCUACACCAUCCUGGAACGGCUGAAGGACACAAAACAUUCACAAACGGCAGCUCUUACAUCCGACGGCGAAGGAAUCUGCCGCACACAGCACUAACAACCCGAAAUGGAGAGUUUAGCAAGUGCAAUCCGUUUAGGAGGACGGAGUAAAAAACGGUGCUGUGCUUGGAGAAUGAUGGAGUAAAAAAAUGUCUGCAAAUCAUUUACGGGGAAUCAAACAUUUAUUGCCGUUCUUACCUUUUUUUUUUUUUUUCUUCCUGUCUUCUAGUUGAAAAAGGAUGUUUGGUGUGUUAUUGAAUAAUAUGUGCAGAUGUCCCUUAAAGCUCAAAAGACCCAAACAAACCCCAAACCCCAGAGUAUUUUAUGAUGGAAAACCACGUUUCAAUAAGAAGUAAAUAAAUUGAAUAAAACCAAGAAAAAUGUUAAGAAGAAUUAGGAGAAUAACCAGCAAGUAACAAAAUUCAUCUCCUCAACUGGACCAGCUUCUGCUUCACCACUGACUGAAAUCUGCUAUCAUACAGCAACUGCUUUUUAUAACCAAGCUGCUUUUCCCCCCUGCCUGGAAUAUAACAUUUCAGAGGCAAAACUCUCCUUGUAGCACUUCAGCAAGGCGUUACACUUUCCGUAGCCAUACACACUUAACCCAACAUGAAGCGAGUUAAAUAAUCAUUAGCACAGUAACCCAUUGCUAUCAAAAACUUAUUGGUCCUCUAAAUUUUAAAUUAAUGGCCUGUCUUCCUGUUCUCUGUGUGUGUCUGUCUGCUUUUCAGCCACCUCAGUGCAUAGUCAUAGAUGUUUUAUCAGCACAUAUUAGACUAUUUGCAUUAUUGACAUUUCAAUUUUUAAAAUUAAAAAGAAAAAAAAAAAAAAAAGCAAAAAGAAGAAUAGUUCCUGCUGAGUUGUUUUAUCUGUAGACUUCUGGUUCUUAAGUAACUCAUCCCAGCAUUAAUUAGCAGCCAAUAUUUGACAAACCAACUAAGAAAUACACUCUGUCCCUCUGCAGCCAAGUUGCUGUAGCUCAAAGAAGUUUCCUUAAGAAAGAACAAAAAAGAGGAGAUAAAGUAAAAAGAAUUGGAGCAAUGCCCUGAUAAAAACUCAAUAGUUUAUACUCACUUUUUCUUUUUUGAGAAGUUAAAUAAAACUGCUUUUUUUGUUGUUUGGUUUUAUUUUCUUUUGAAAAACUCCUUUUCUCCCCAUAAACUGUUCGAUUUCUGGCCCAAAUCCCUUUUUUUCCUUUUUUUUUUUUUUUUUUUUUUUUUUUUUAGUCCUGAAGUAAUUUCUAGUCAUUUUAAGGCAGUUACUUAUCCGGAGAAUGAAGGAGUAUCAGCUGUGUUUCAAUUAGAGAAGGAAAAAAGAUAAAGACUUGGAACUUAACCUAAAAACGCGAAGUGACAUAUUAGGAUGAGAAUUUUCAUAUGUUGCUGUAUAAAUAUUUUAAUAAAAGUCCUAAAAUAA
Non-coding RNA from Anas platyrhynchos (mallard), 4467 nucleotides. Lineage: Eukaryota; Metazoa; Chordata; Aves; Anseriformes; Anatidae. The record is from RefSeq and is a predicted model, not a curated record.